This 550-nucleotide ribosomal RNA is filed under the name uncultured Glomeromycotina. RNAcentral's name for it is "SSU rRNA". It matches the Rfam family "Eukaryotic small subunit ribosomal RNA", at positions 548 to 1098 of the family's 1831-position model. The record is from RNAcentral. Lineage: Eukaryota; Fungi; Glomeromycota.
UUGGAGGGCAAGUCUGGUGCCAGCAGCCGCGGUAAUUCCAGCUCCAAUAGCGUAUAUUAAAGUUGUUGCAGUUAAAAAGCUCGUAGUUGAAUUUCGGGGUUAGUAGGUUGGUCGUGCCUAUGGUAUGCACUGGCUUUACUGAUUCCUCCUUCUUGAAGAACUGUAAUGUCAUUAAUUUGGUGUUGCAGGGAAACAGGACUGUUACUUUGAAAAAAUUAGAGUGUUUAAAGCAGGCUUAACGCUUGAAUACAUUAGCAUGGAAUAAUGAAAUAGGACGUUUGAUCCUAUUUCGUUGGUUUCUAGGAUUGACGUAAUGAUUAAUAGGGAUAGUUGGGGGCAUUAGUAUUCAAUUGUCAGAGGUGAAAUUCUUGGAUUUAUUAAAGACUAACUACUGCGAAAGCAUUUGCCAAGGAUGUUUUCAUUAAUCAAGAACGAAAGUUAGGGGAUCGAAGACGAUCGGAUACCGUCGUAGUCUUAACCAUAAACUAUGCCGACUAGGGAUCGGAUGAUGUUAAUUUUUUAAUGACUCAUUCGGCGCCUUACGGGAAAC